This 345-nucleotide ribosomal RNA is filed under the name Nematolebias whitei (Rio pearlfish). Its description in RNAcentral is "partial 12S ribosomal RNA". The record is from RNAcentral. Lineage: Eukaryota; Metazoa; Chordata; Actinopteri; Cyprinodontiformes; Rivulidae.
AAUAAAAUAUUACAAUUUUAUUCGCCUGAAAACUACGAGCAUUAGCUUAAAACUCAAUGGGCUUGGCGGUGCUUUAAACCCCCCUAGAGGAGCCUGUCCUGCGAUUGAUAAUCCCCGUUAAACCUUACCUUCUUUAGUAUUACAGCUUGUAUACCUCCAUCGUCAGUUUACCCCUUAAAGGCAAUAAAUGAAACGAAACCGGUUUUACCCCAAACGCUAGGUCAAGGUGCAGUUAAUAAGAAGGGAAGAGAUGGGCUACAUUUCCUAAUUAUGAAACUACGGAUAAUGCAAUGAAACUUGCAUCUUGAAGGUGGAUUUAGCAGUAAGUAAAAAUCAGAGUGUUUU